RNAcentral lists this ribosomal RNA (877 nucleotides) under uncultured archaeon. RNAcentral's name for it is "bacterial SSU rRNA". It matches the Rfam family "Archaeal small subunit ribosomal RNA", at positions 21 to 903 of the family's 1478-position model. The record is from RNAcentral.
GGUUACUGCUAUCGGGGUCCGACUAAGCCAUGCGAGUUGAGAGGGGUAAGCCCUCGGCAUACUGCUCAGUAACACGCGGAUAACCUGCCCUUGGGUCCGGGAUAACCCCGGGAAACUGGGACUAAUACCGGAUAGAUCAGAGAAACUGGAAUGUUCUCUGGUCCAAAACUCCGGUGCCCAAGGAUGGGUCUGCGGCCUAUCAGGUAGUAGUGGGUGUAACGUACCUACUAGCCAGCGACGGGUAAGGGUUGUGAGAGCAAGAUCCCUGAGAUGGAUUCUGAGACAUGAAUCCAGGCCCUACGGGGUGCAGCAGGCGCGAAAACUUUACACUGCGGGAAACCGCGAUAAGGGGACCCCGAGUGCCAGCACCUAGUGCUGGCUGUCCUACUGUCUAAAUAACAGUGGUUAGCAAGGGCCGGGCAAGACCGGUGCCAGCCGCCGCGGUAACACCGGCGGCCCGAGUGGUAACCGUUUUUAUUGGGUUUAAAGGGUCCGUAGCCGGCUUACUAAGUCUCUUGGGAAAUCUGGCGGCUCAAUCGUCAGGCGGCCAAGAGAUACUGGUAGGCUUGGGACCGGGAGAGGUGGGAGGUACUCCAGGGGUAGGGGUGAAAUCUCGUAAUCCUUGGGGGACCACCGAUGGCGAAGGCAUCCCACCAGAACGGGUCCGACGGUGAGGGACGAAAGCUGGGGGCACGAACCGGAUUAGAUACCCGGGUAGUCCCAGCUGUAAACGAUGCUCGCUAGGUGUCAGGUGCGGUGCGACCGCAUCUGGUGCCGCAGUGAAAACUUGAAGCGAGUCACCUGGGAAGUACGGUCGCAAGGCUGAAACUUAAAGGAAUUGGCGGGGGAGCACUACAACGGGUGGAGCCUGCGGUUC